Molecule: ribosomal RNA, 1521 nt
Filed under: Triticum aestivum (bread wheat)
Lineage: Eukaryota; Viridiplantae; Streptophyta; Magnoliopsida; Poales; Poaceae
Description: partial small subunit ribosomal RNA
Source: RNAcentral
AUGAUCUCUUCUUCUUCCCAAGCGUCGCCCGCUGGCUUCCUCCAAUGCCUCACGAAGGCUAACAUCUCAGUGUUCGAGCAGGGCGAAGAUUUGUUCAACACGCAGCUUGACAAAUACAUUAGGAACCCAAAGUUCCUCGCAAAUACCACCGGGAGGCCGCUCUAUGUCGUGAUGCCGGCGAAUGCUCACCACGUCCAGAUCGCCGUGCGCUGCGGUAGCCUAAACGGGGUGCCCCUGCGCGUGCGCAGCGGCGGGCACGACUAUGAGGGCCUGUCGUACCGGUCCGUGGGCAUCGAGGGCUUCGCGAUGCUCGACAUGUCGGAGCUACGCACCGUGGUCGUCGACAACCAGACGUCGACGGUGUGGGUGGAGUCCGGCGCGACGCUCGGCGAGCUCUAUUAUGCCAUAUCAAAGGCGAGCAACCUUCUUGGGUUCCCGGCCGGCGUGUGCUUGGCCGUCGGCGUCGGAGGCCAUUUUAGCGGCGGUGGCUUUGGCACGCUGAUGCGCAAGCACGGGCUAGCGGUCGAUAACGUCAUUGAUGCCGAGUUGGUGGACGCCAAUGGCACGCUCCUGAACAAGACCACCAUGGGGGACGACGUCUUCUGGGCCAUUCGAGGCGGCGGCGGCGGGAGCUUUGGCGUCGUGCUGAAGUGGCAGGUGAGGCUCGUGCCCGUCCCGGCGACGGUGUCGGUGUUCGAGGUCUCGGUGUCCAACAGCCAGGGCGCCGCCGUGCACGCGGUCACCAAGUGGCAGAAGGUGGCGCCGGCCCUGCCGGAGGAGCUGUACAUCAGGGCGCUUGUCCAGAACGGCAUGGCCGUCUUCCGAGCAGUGUUCCUCGGCACGUGUGACGCGCUCCUCCCGCUGAUGAGCAGGAGCGAUGGCAUCCCGGAGCUGAAUUUGAGCCGCUCCGACUGCAAGGAGAUGACCUGGAUCGAGUCCAUGGCCUACAUCAACAGCGCGACCGUGGAGGACCUCACGAAGCGGACCACCUCUGAGUUCGACUCCAGCCAUGGCUUCAAGGCGACGACGGACUACGUCCGGCGCGCCAUUCGCCGGGAGGUGUGGGCCAAGAUCUUCUACAAGCAGCUCAGGCAGCCCAACGCGCAGGUCAUCUUGGUCCCAUACGGCGGGAAGAUGAGCAACGUGGCAGAGGACGCGACGCCGUACCCGCACCGCGCCGGCGUGCUGUACAGCAUGCAGUUGUACAACUACUGGCCGGUGGAUUCGGCAUAUAACGGAGCCAUGGAGACCAAGUGGGUCAGGGACAUGUACGCCUUCAUGGCGCCGUACGUGAGCUCCAAAUCCAGGCCAAGGGGAGCCUACUUCAACUGCAGGGACCUGGAUCUCGGCCCCAAUUGGGGGCCGAAAUACUUCAAGGGUAACUACCAGAGGCUCACCAAGGCCAAGGCUAAGAUCGACCCCCACAACUACUUCCGCAAUGAGCAAAGCAUCCCCCUGCCAAAACGAGCAUCUUUAUUUUUUGACGCGAGAAGCAGGAGCUCCGCUUUUACAUUGAAGUAG